Molecule: ribosomal RNA, 184 nt
Filed under: uncultured Bacteroidota bacterium
Lineage: Bacteria; Pseudomonadati; Bacteroidota
Description: uncultured Bacteroidetes bacterium partial 16S ribosomal RNA
Source: RNAcentral
GGGUUAACCUCUCAGUCCCCCUAUGUAUCGUUGCCUUGGUGAGCCGUUACCUCACCAACCAGCUAAUACAACGCAUGCCCAUCCAUAACCACCGGAGUUUUCAACCAGAACCGAUGCCGGUCCUGAUGUUAUGGGGUAUUAGUACCAAUUUCUCAGUGUUAUCCCCCUGUUAUGGGUAGGUUGC